RNAcentral lists this ribosomal RNA (489 nucleotides) under uncultured bacterium. RNAcentral's name for it is "partial 16S ribosomal RNA". It matches the Rfam family "Bacterial small subunit ribosomal RNA", at positions 30 to 507 of the family's 1533-position model. The record is from RNAcentral.
AUUGAACGCUGGCGGCAGGCCUAACACAUGCAAGUCGAACGGUAACAGGAAGAAGCUUGCUUCUUUGCUGACGAGUGGCGGACGGGUGAGUAAUGUCUGGGAAACUGCCUGAUGGAGGGGGAUAACUACUGGAAACGGUAGCUAUACCGCAUAACGUCGCAAGACCAAAGAGGGGGACCUUCGGGCCUCUUGCCAUCGGAUGUGCCCAGAUGGGAUUAGCUAGUAGGUGGGGUAACGGCUCACCUAGGCGACGAUCCCUAGCUGGUCUGAGAGGAUGACCAGCCACACUGGAACUGAGACACGGUCCAGACUCCUACGGGAGGCAGCAGUGGGGAAUAUUGCACAAUGGGCGCAAGCCUGAUGCAGCCAUGCCGCGUGUAUGAAGAAGGCCUUCGGGUUGUAAAGUACUUUCAGCGGGGAGGAAGGGAGUAAAGUUAAUACCUUUGCUCAUUGACGUUACCCGCAGAAGAAGCACCGGCUAACUCCGUG